Molecule: long non-coding RNA, 335 nt
Filed under: Elaeis guineensis (African oil palm)
Lineage: Eukaryota; Viridiplantae; Streptophyta; Magnoliopsida; Arecales; Arecaceae
Description: long non-coding RNA (EGUI_LNC050346)
Source: RNAcentral
AUGAGUCCUGAUUAGAUGGCAGGUCAUGGAUAAAUCAUCAAAUCUCAUCAUCAGUCAUAUAAUAAAUUCAAUCAGCUCAAGUCCAAUUACGAUCCUCAGAAUUUUUUUUUUCCAUCAAUCACACUGCUGUGGCCAUAGACUCUUGGACUUAACCUCUCAAAUCUCAUAGGACUACUCCUCUCUAUCAAAAUAAUAGAUUCUAUCUAGAUAUGUACCCUACUCCUAUAAUGGACCAACUAUCACCAACAUUCACUAUAAUGACUCAUUGAGAUCAUGUUUAUGUGUCAGUCAAACUCCAGCAGCCUACUAUGAGCAGUCAUACCAUCGUAGGUCAA